Molecule: small nuclear RNA, 107 nt
Organism: Diceros bicornis minor
Lineage: Eukaryota; Metazoa; Chordata; Mammalia; Perissodactyla; Rhinocerotidae
Source: RefSeq, a predicted model, not a curated record
GUGCUCACUUUGGCAGCACAUAUACUAAAAUUGGAACAAUACAGACAAGAUUAGUAUGGUCCCUGCACAAGGAUGACACGUAAAUUCCCAAAGCAUUCCAUAUUUAA